GAAAUGCGAUAAGUAAUGUGAAUUGCAGAAUUCAGUGAAUCAUCGAAUCUUUGAACGCACCUUGCGCUCCUUGGUAUUCCGAGGAGCAUGCCUGUUUGAGUGUCAUUAAAUUCUCAACUCCUCCAGCUUUUGUUAGUUGGCUUGGAGCUUGGAUGUGGAGGUUUGCUGGCCCCUUCUGUUUGGGUCAGCUCCUCUGAAAUGCAUUAGCGGAACCGUUUGCGAUCCGUCACAGGUGUGAUAAUUAUCUACGCCGGUGGGUUGCUCUCUGUGUGUUCAGCUGCCAAUCGUCUCUGCUUAAGGGACAACUUCUGAAUACUUGACCUCAAAUCAGGUAGGAUUACCCGCUGAACUUAA
This 354-nucleotide unclassified non-coding RNA is filed under the name uncultured Agaricaceae. RNAcentral describes it as "sequence contains ITS1". The stretch from base 1 to 105 matches the Rfam family "5.8S ribosomal RNA", at positions 50 to 154 of the family's 154-position model. Lineage: Eukaryota; Fungi; Basidiomycota; Agaricomycetes; Agaricales; Agaricaceae. The record is from RNAcentral.